Molecule: long non-coding RNA, 1817 nt
Organism: Sorex araneus (European shrew)
Lineage: Eukaryota; Metazoa; Chordata; Mammalia; Eulipotyphla; Soricidae
Exons: 3
Source: RefSeq, a predicted model, not a curated record
GGACUAUAUGGGAUAUCAGGGAUUGAACCCAGGUCAGUUGUAUGCAAGAUGAUGUUCAUGAUUUUACUGGAAUAUUAUUUGCAGAAAAGUACAAAGAAAUACCAUUAGAGGCCAGAUCAAGUUUUUGUAUUGGACUUCUGAAGCAGUAACAAAGCCCAGCUGGCAAUCUGGAUUCUUCCCAUUUUUGGUUUGAUUUAAUGAUUCGGUGAAGUACAUACUCUUCUUGCAUCAGAAGUAUCAGUGUUAGUUCCUUUAUGCCAGAUACUUUCACAGGAGCUCAGUCUGAGAUGCCUGGAUGAAUUAUUGCAGAGUCACUGAAGCAGCUGGUGGAAAAGUCCAUGUCAAUUCUUUUGAGACCUGCAUCUUUGGUAAACAUUCUGAUUUGUUUUUGUUUUGUUCUAUGUGCAUUUCAUAGAAGCAAGUAAAAUGGCACAAAAACACCAGGGAUUCUACAUUUAUUCUUCACUGGUUAAUGGAAACUCCAUGGAGAGUUUUUAAGCAUCCUAAAUUUAGGUUGACGUAAUAACCAUUUUUUAUUUUAGGAAUAACAUUUGUAUAAUAAAACUUUCCUGAAUAAAUUGGAUUGUAGUUUCAAUUUAUAAGUCAUUGAUCUUGUUACUCUUUUAUUUAAGUUUAAUUCUACAAAGAAAAAUAUCCUUAUUUUUCUUCCAGCUUUGUUAUGUGGUAUUGUGUCCCUAUAGCCUAUAGCUAAUUUUGAUUUUCCUGCUAAAGCAUUGCACUGUAGCACUGUAGCACUGUUGUCUCGUUGUUCAUCGAUUUGCUUGAGUGGGCACCAGUAAUGUCUCCAUUGUGAGACUUGUUGUUACUGUUUUUGACAUAUUGAAUGCACCACGGGUAGCUUGCCAGGCUAUGCCAUGAGGGUGGGAUACUCUCGAUAGCUCGCCAGACUCUCUGAGAGGGACAGAGGAAUCGAACACUGGUUGACCGCAUGCUAAAGCAUUACUUUUGCUAAUUUGUGGGUGGUAGUUUUUGUGGCUUUUCAUCAAUUCAAAACUUACCUAUUUCCAACAUAAUGCUGUGAACAUAUUCCACUAUCCAUUCUAAUAACAUUAUUCCACAAGUACUAAUUGUUUUUUGUAAAGUAGCAGCUGUUCUAAGUGAAUGGAACUAGCACACAGGAUUUAUAAUAUGUCCUCUUUAUACAGUAUAAACUCUUUCAUUUGUAAAUAUGCAAUACACAAUAAAUGACAAUAGGGUCUAUUUUAGACAGUGAAAGUUCAAGUGAGUAAAAUAAGACUGAUUGGUUAUUGAGUAAAAGGAGACCACUUUAAGUAGGCUGAACUCUGAGAGCAUCUUGGAACUGAACUGAAAGGCAAGGAAUUGGAUAUAUGAGUGCAAUAAUAAGGAAGAGUUUUUGAAGGAAGAAUCAGCAGUAACUAUGUACACACUCAAGUAGGAAUAAUCUUAAUGUGCUACAUAGGUAGGAAGUGUGUUGCUGUGGAAAGAAUGAGUGAUAAGAAUGCUGAUGGAUCAGAUAAUUUUUGGCUAUGUAGGCAAACUAUAACACACGAUAUGAUAGGUUUCUAUUUUAAUCAGAGUAGAAAGCUUUUCAAUAUCUUCUAUCAUAUAAAUAGUUUAAUAUGAUUUAUGUUCUUUAAGACAUCAUGUUGAUUGUCAGGAGGAAACCUCAUUAUGAGAGAUAAGAGUUCAGGGUAAUCAGAUAAUACACUGUAGUGUCCCUGACAAAAGAUGUUGGAAUUUUGAAUUAGAAUAGGUAGUAGUAAGUAGUAAAAUAUGGUCAAAUUAAAAACUAUUUUGAAUGAAAUAUUUAUAGCAUCUACUAAUUUAAUGCAAGU